This 36-nucleotide transfer RNA is filed under the name Phylloscopus ricketti (sulphur-breasted warbler). RNAcentral's name for it is "partial tRNA-Thr". Lineage: Eukaryota; Metazoa; Chordata; Aves; Passeriformes; Phylloscopidae. The record is from RNAcentral.
CCAAACUCUAAUAGUUUAUAAAAACAUUGGUCUUGU